Molecule: long non-coding RNA, 264 nt
Filed under: Elaeis guineensis (African oil palm)
Lineage: Eukaryota; Viridiplantae; Streptophyta; Magnoliopsida; Arecales; Arecaceae
Description: long non-coding RNA (EGUI_LNC034600)
Source: RNAcentral
GACUGGUGGCAGCAGUAGCAGAGCCAGAGGGCUCUACGGAGGCACUGCAGGGGGCUCACAAACAUCUCAAGAUGGUGUAGAGGCCGAGGCAGGGAGCAUUGGAGUGCUGCAGUCGCACAUCUCUAGUGGCGUUGGACUGAGAGAGGCUCAGCGGUGCAGCAGCCGAGGGAGGUAUCUCAGAGAAACAGUCGGGAGUAUCCUGAGUUCGGCUAGGUAGAGUGGCCAUGAUAGGUAAGGACAGGCUGGGAGCACCAGAGGCAUCUC